This 72-nucleotide transfer RNA is filed under the name Ovis aries (sheep). It matches the Rfam family "tRNA". From Rfam's summary of the family: Transfer RNA (tRNA) molecules are approximately 80 nucleotides in length. Their secondary structure includes four short double-helical elements and three loops (D, anti-codon, and T loops). Further hydrogen bonds mediate the characteristic L-shaped molecular structure. tRNAs have two regions of fundamental functional importance: the anti-codon, which is responsible for specific mRNA codon recognition, and the 3' end, to which the tRNAs corresponding amino acid is attached (by aminoacyl-tRNA synthetases). tRNAs cope with the degeneracy of the genetic code in two manners: having more than one tRNA (with a specific anti-codon) for a particular amino acid; and 'wobble' base-pairing, i.e. permitting non-standard base-pairing at the 3rd anti-codon position. The record is from Rfam by way of RNAcentral. Lineage: Eukaryota; Metazoa; Chordata; Mammalia; Artiodactyla; Bovidae.
UCCCUGGUGGCUCAGAGGGUAAAGCGUCUGCCUAUAAUGUGGGAGACCCGGGUUCGAUCCCUGGGUUGGGAA